CCUCCUCCCGCGCCGUUCUCCGCCCCACUGUUCCUCCCGCGGAGCCGCCCGCCGCGCCCUUCGCCGCGGUAGCUGCCGCCGGAGCCACCCAUCGCGCCCUUUUCCGCGGGAGCCGCCGCAGGUCAUUGCGGGAGUAUUCUUGGGAGCCGCUGCGGGAGCCGCCUAUCGCGCCCUUCGCCGCGGUAGUCGCCGCCGGAGCCGUCCGCAAUAGGUGUCGUUGGCAUGCCACCGGAGGCCCGAUCUGGGCGAGAGGAACCAUCGCCUCGCUCCUUCGAUGCCGGGUCGGGAUUCGCUGGCUCGGAUCUACGGAUGUUCCUCCUCCGGUUAGCCGUGCCAGAGCCCUCCUCCUCCCUUCUCUCUCCCUCUCCUCACUAAUCUCUCUUCCUCUCUCCAUUCCCGUGCUGCAGGACACCAUGGCCAUAGACCAAGCUCCGCCAGACCUUCCCUCGCGACUGCCGGCCUUCCUCUAGACAACAACAGCGAUGCCCGGGUCUGCCCCGCCGCCAUUCGUUUCUGCCUUGCCUAGCCGCACUGCGUAUCCAGACCACCUCCCCAGAUAGCGCCGCCGUCGUCCCUAAGGCGGCGCCGGUCUCGGCCGCGGCGCAGGAGGUGUUGCCAUCGCCGUCCAUGUCGUCAUCUGGCUGGACCAUCGAGGAUCUCCUGCAGUUCUCCGUAGGAACACCGAUCAUGUAUCACAAAUCAAUCAGAAGAAAUGCAUGGCGCAGAUGGUGUUACUUGUUGUUCUAGGUGUGGUGAUCUCAACAUUUUUGCUUGACGCUGCUAUAAGUGGACGCUUAGUGCAACCGGUGAUGUUACUAUCAUUGCUCUUCUGAAAGACCUAGGCGCAAGCAACAAUUUCAGUAUGAUAAUCAAAGGAGAAUCCUUAAUGAACGACGGGGCCCAUAAUAAAGUUUUUGUCAGAAGUUUCACUUGGAGCGUAUGUGAAUAUUUUAUAGGUCCAAACUAGAUGAUACAAAACCAUGCUACCAAUGCUAAUCUCUAUCUUCUUUGACCAGUGUUGCUCUGGGCCUUGUAUUGGAAUUGCAUCUCUACUAUGGAUGGGCUAUAUUUUCGAUGAUACAAUCAUACAGAUUUCACUUACCCUCGCAGUCAGAUAUAUUGCUUUCUUCACUGUAAGAUAAUCAGAUAACAGACAUAUCGAGGCUCUUACAUGUCUAUUUUUAUCUCUAGAAGUACAUGAUUUGCUCAGUGUUUUGAAAUGGUUUAUAGCUCCAGUAAUAGAAUGGUUGUCAAGCAACCCUUUUUGCAACACUGGGAUGCUGUUUUAAUGGCUUGUGAUGGCAAUCCAGGGUCAUUUCUGGAUGCAUUCAUGUGUGCCGAUGAGGUAUCCAUGUACUCAUGUAAUAUUAAAUUUUUUAUGUUGUCAUUUUCUUACCCUGGCAGUACGACUGUGUAUAAGGUACUCUGAGACUGCUAGAAAAGUAUCUUUGCUUUUAACUAUUUCCCCAUGAAACUAUGUACUAUUUAUCUCUGAUAUUGUGUGUUGAUCAUUGAACAACUUAAUAACUUUUAA
Molecule: long non-coding RNA, 1534 nt
Organism: Triticum dicoccoides
Lineage: Eukaryota; Viridiplantae; Streptophyta; Magnoliopsida; Poales; Poaceae
Exons: 4
Source: RefSeq, a predicted model, not a curated record